RNAcentral lists this long non-coding RNA (868 nucleotides) under Mus musculus (house mouse). RNAcentral's name for it is "long non-coding RNA chr4:85131049-85131917". The record is from RNAcentral. Lineage: Eukaryota; Metazoa; Chordata; Mammalia; Rodentia; Muridae.
UUAUAAAUAAAGGACUAAAUAUAAAUUUUAUAUAAAAACUAGACUUUUCUAUAAAACUGUUGUAAAUGUGAUUCAGUGAACAACAUCUUUGUGUGGUGAGAAAAUAUGCAGUGAAUUGUGCUAAUAUCAAAGAGGGGCACUGAGUGAAGCUUACUGUAUGCUUCCAUUGUACCAGUUCUCAUUGACAUACUGGAUUAUACGGGAGAUACUCUGUUUUUCUAGAACUGUCUGGAAAAAAAUAAAAACAUUUCUCUCCUUUGUCUGCUUGUGCAGUUAUAUAAAUCAGCAGGGCCAGAACCCCAAUGUAUAAUGUUGGGCUAGACCAAGCAGAGCUCAUACCAUGCUGUCUAAUUAACAAUGCCUUCUCACUGUGGUGGGAACACUGUGUGUAGUUGUUAACCAUUCUUCUCCUUUUGUGUCCUCACUGAGUUCUUGCCACACAUUCUUGGAGCCUCUGAGUCACUGAACUUGCUCCUCUAUACUUGCAGUUGGUUCUGUCUUUGUAGAAUACUCUGUGUGUAACUGUACGCAUACCUGUCUUCUCAUCAUCCAGUUUCACUUUAGCAGUUCCAUCAUGGCAUAGUCUCUGAAAAUCCUACUAGCAACAUGAAAUCACCUGUUUUUAAUAUGCUCACUCUUUUGCUUUAUGGUUGAUCCUCAUUUACUCCUUUAGAAUAUAGAUCCCAUGAGAUUAAGGUAGGUGAUGGCAAAUUAAGACCCAUAGCCAAAUCUUGCCUGCCAUCUACUUUUAUAUAGUUCACAGACUGAUUUUUUUCUAUUUUAUUAAACUGUUUAAAAACAAUACUUUGUAGCAUGUAAAAUCAUAUGAAAUCCAAUUUUAAUGUUUUAUCAAUAAAGAUUUAUUGUG